Molecule: ribosomal RNA, 21 nt
Filed under: Fritziana tonimi
Lineage: Eukaryota; Metazoa; Chordata; Amphibia; Anura; Hemiphractidae
Description: Fritziana sp. MW-2016a partial 12S ribosomal RNA
Source: RNAcentral
CCGGAAGGUGUGCUUGGCAAU